AUGGUUUUGAUUUUAUAUCUAGUACGGGACAGUAAUCCCAUGACUUUCAACCUAUAGUCUUUGUGUAUCAAGGUUAUCUUAUAUCUAGUACGGUAUAGUAAUCCCAUGAUUUACAAUAUAUAGUUUUAUGUAUUAAACUAUACACUGUGGUAUUCAAAUAAACUUUACUUUUAGGAAAAUAAGGGUUUUUCCUGGGAUAACUGAACUGUAUUUAACUAGAUCGUGUAACUAAUGGAUAACUAAACUAUACUUAUAAAAAAAUAUGGGAUUUUCUUGGAUAUCAAACUUUUAGGAGAACCAAAAGAAACUUGUACAUUUUUCAGAAAACAAACAUCUUAUGAACUCACCAGCUUUAUGUUAAUUUUCAAACUACUUGUAUUCUCAGGUCCACGUUAGACAGGUACCCAGCGAUCCAUUUGGCGAAGACGGAGUACGUAGAAGACACGUCUGUACUUUUGUUCGUAUGAUAUAUAUGUAUGACACUUGUAACACUUUGAUUUCAAACAAAUGUAAUAAUUCUAUGUAAUGUAAUGCUUUGUGUUUACUAUGCUUACUAUGUACAUUGGAUUUGAUAUUCAACGUGCAGUCCGCCCCGGAAACGUUUCCGCCUUGGUUUCGGGGUGUGACAUAAAGGUAGUAGAAAAUGGAUAUCUUAUGAGAGAGUUAUGAUUUUUAUACGGACUUUAGAAAUCUAAGCCUAUAAAAAUAUAAAUUUAAAAAUAAAGUCAGAAUUAGCCGACAGAGUCUAAAUAAAAGUUCUAGAUCUCGACGAUGGCUACGUAUAGAUAUAAAGAACAGAGAAAUGGAGCUCGUGUGUAGCAAUUACAGAAAUGUGUGUUAUGAGCGCGGCGUGCGCUUCUAGAAGGUGGCAACACGGAGCACAAAGAAGGUGACAUGUGGCACAAAACGAAUGGGGAGACGUCACCUUAAGCGCGCGACACGCAUGACCAAAAUUUGUCUAUAAAUAUCAUUUCACCCCUCAUUCACUUCUCCACACCCUCCAUACACUCACUCGAAUUUCCACUCUUUCUGUCUGAAAAUUUGUAAUACCUAGAAUAUUUUAGCGAAGCUUUGGAGUCUUUGAAUGCCCGACAGUUAAAAGUAAUCAUGUCAAAUUAUGUCGGCGAUUUUCCACACUUUUGUCAAAAAGUCUAUGUAACUUAAGCUACACUUGUUAGGGAAAACAGACGAUACUGGUCAAGACUCAAAACAAAUUUGAUGUCACUUGCCAAGUUCUGGGUGGCCCUUGUUAGGAAGAGAUGUGAAUAACAAGCAAAACUAUAAGCAUAGAAAGACAUAGUAUUUACGUGGUUCGGUCAAGGCGACCUACGUCCACGAGUAGGAGGGGAGUAUUCUUUAUUUCAGAGUUCUCAAAUAGAGGUUACAAGUACAAUUCACCAAAGAUUCACCUAUCACUCUAGAAUUCAAGAUACAAGACACUAGACAAAUGACUCUACAUGCAUCCUAAUUUAUACUUGAAGGAUCAAACCUAAAACCCUAAUGGGUCAAGCUCAUUUGCCCAUAAGCCCAUGACAGGUGUCAACCAAUCACAAGCCGCCAUGCAGCAUCCUCUGGAACACCUUGUGCUAUAGUGGAGCAUCAUGAUGUACAAGUGGCUCAUCAUGAACUCUAAUGGGCCAACAUCCAUCAUGGUGGCACAACAUGGUGUAAUUCUUGAGCAAUACCAACUUCUGAGCAUCCUUGAACGAUUUUGAGCAUUAUAGAGGACUUCAUACAUACUUGGCUCAUCAAGGACCAAGAUGGUCCAUCUUGCUCCAUCAUGGUGCAACAAGAAUAUAGAUUACGCAAGUGGCUUCAAUUCUGGCACAAGCACAUCAAGAUUUGAGAAACAACACCACCAUGGCGCAAUAGGAACAUGCAUGGCGCAACAAGGACAUGCAUAGCGCAAGAGUAUACCUCAUGGCACAAGAGGAAUCCUCAUGGCGCAAGAGGGAGCAUAAUGGUGCAAGAAGGAAUACCAUGGCACAACAUCCCUGAUUGCCUCAAACCACCAAAGAAGUAACAAGUUUGGACUGAUCACAAUAGAACGACCACAAGACUUUCUCAAAGUAGUGAGAAAUGUAUAACCAUCCUGCUCUUUUAUCACUCCGAUAUGUCAUCUUCUUUUAAGAUCCUAAAUCGUUCAUUACAAGCUCAUUCUCCAAAUUCUUCUUCAAGGCGGUGUUUGUUUUUUUUCCGCAGAUCUUCUUGGCCUCUUCUAUCUGCGCGGCGCAGAUCACACACAUACAUUAGUCUUCAAAGGCUGUUUUUUUUUUAAGACUGUAGACCUAAAAAUGUAUGUGCGCCCUCUUUUAGUGCAGAUGUGGACCAGUCUUCUAACAUCUUCAGACAUCUUCUAGUCUAAAAAAACACAUAUAAAUAAAAAUUUAUUACAAUAAUGGUCGUUGAAGUUGUUUAUAAAAAUAUGAAAAAAAUAAAAUAAAAUAAUAUAUGCUUAUAUUUUUUAUGCCAAAUUUUAUAAAACAUUAUUUAAUACAAUAUCGUCAACUUCUUUGAAAAAUAUUUAUGACUAGUUUUUAAUUGAUUUAAAUCAAAAAAUCAAAGUUUAUUUCCAUCCACUUAUGUAUCAAAAUCUUUGAUUUCUAACUACAAUGUUUAGGUAUAACUUUGCGACCAAAAUUAUUAGUUUUUAUUAAAUAUAUACGUUAAUUUAUACCAUUUUUAUUUUCACUUUUUAUACAAUAAUACAUAAAAGUUGAUUUAGAUUUGUUAAUUAUUUAUUACAAAGUCAUAAAUAUAUUAAAAAAUCACUUUGUAGUUUAAAAAAUUAAUUUAUUUAGAUUUUAGUUUAUUUUAGUAGUCUGCAGAUGUUAAAAAAACAGUCUUCUUUUUUCAAACUGUAAAAGUUUGGUCUACCUCUUCUGCUGCAGAGGUCCACAGAUGUGGUCCACAGACUGCAAACAUUUUGUAUCAUAAAAAACAAACAACACCUAAGUUGUCUUUCUUGGCAUCAUCACCAGACACUUUUUCCCUGGGUUGAAAGGAAAAAAGCAACAAGCAAACAACAUUCGAGCAGAAAAACUCUAUAGGCAUAUGGCAUCAAAUUUCAGGCAAUUUUAUUAUGUAAUUCCUGAAGAUCUCUAUCCUACUACAAGCAUGCAAUUCAAUCAUAAGAAAAUAACAAUGACUUGGGGGUAUACAUUCUUGCUCUGGCUGAUCAUACACAUCCCGUCUUUCCUUGGUUACUUUUGAAAACCAUUUGAAAACAAAUUGAAAACUUUAGCAGAUCCUUAGUUUGAGUCUAGAUUCACACAAAUGUUCAUCCAAUUAUCACAAAUAGGGCUCUGAUAUCAACUUGUAACAUGCCAAAAUCACGAUAAAAAUUUUCAUUUUAAAAUCAAAAGAAAUCAUUGUUUUCAAACAAACCCAUAACAAAAUCAAGUAUAAAGUACAUAUAUCCCUAGAUCAGUGUACCAUAAAUCUCCAAGAACAUGUCAUAGAAGGAUGUGUAUGAUCAGACAUUCGUCUUGUAACGAUCAGCUGAAGUACUUGAAACAUGAAUUUGAAAACUAUAAGCCAGAGCUUAGUGAGUUCCCCCAAAGUCCAACCACACAAAAAUAUAGCAACAUGCGUACUAGGUCCACAACUAACAAACUGGAUUACCCGUGAGUCCACAACAUGAGUCUGGCUUACCUUCCGGCCCAUAGCUCAUGUAUGGCUUACUCCUAAGCACAUAGCCUAUGUUUUGCUUGUUUCCCGAUUUGUUGGCUUCUGCACAUAGCAAUAUUGCCUCAACCCAACCAAACUAUGUCGACAUAUACAUGUUAGAUAGCAUAUAUCCAGUAAACAGAUAAUCAUAUAACCACUCAACAAACUAACAGACAGAUCUACAGAUCAUUGUCACAUAACAAUAUCCUGUAUACCAGGCCUCGGUUCUAACAAAUCAAUACAACAUAGUAACAUCAUCAAAACCUGGAUAGAUAACCCAGUGGGUCCACAUUGGUGCCUUCGACCCAUUAGUACAGUGAGGAAAACUCACCUCUCAGUCUGGAAAGUUAGUUAGGCAGGACACUACUCCGAAUAUCAACUCUACAAGUCACAUAUACAUCAAAUAGUGAUAAAUCUCAACUACAACUCAAAAUACCCUUUGGUCAAAACUUCCAGACCCAGCGUACUUAGCUUGUACGCACGACGUACUAUAGGCUUGACCAAAAAGCAAGUUAUUAACCUCAUACGUGCAGUGUAUGCCCAACGUACGUGCCAACCAACUUCUCCUUCUAUUAAGAGCUUAAUCCCUUAAGGGCUUUUGUCCAAGAUCUAGAUCUAGUCCCAAAAACGUAUACUUUAUGACUUUGCAUAGCUAAGAAAUGCUCAAUACUAAAAACCCUAACUUCUUAACUCAUUAAGACAUUAUAACCCAUACAUGGAAGAAAACUAAUGACCAAAUUGCAUUUUUAUGGUCUUAGACACUCCACAACAUCUGGAAUGACAAUCCAUUUGGGUUUAGAGCAUGUCAUACUCAAGAACAUCAUUGAUUGGGGAGAAAAGCAGAUAAGCAUCAAGAUAUAAGCUUUAUACCUUCCAAGAUAUUCUCAUUUCCUUCUCCUUUCUCUAUGACCAUCAAAACACACACUAAUGGGUCAAGGAUGCUCAAAAAAAAUGGAUUAGGGUUAGCUAGGGUCGAAUAUGGAGGUGGAGAUGAAGAAUGAAGAGGUUUCAAAGAGAUAAGGAUGUUUAAAUAGGGUUCAAACCCUAAAAAUUAAGGUUUGACCCUUAAACACGUACGCCCAACGUACGCAACAUGCACCCAACAUACGCAUGCAACCUCUAUUUUUCAUUAAAAUGCCAUUUGGGACCAAAUUCGCAAUCAAUUCUCAUAUCAAGUGUCCAAAGGGAAAAAGAAAAAGACCAAGUUGUUUUUACAUAGGACUCGAGGAGUCGAUUUCUAGAAUUCUAGUCUUCUACCAAGAAUCAUGAUGUCAUUUCAUUUAUAUUUCAUCAAUCAAUCACCAAUUUCAUUUAUAAAUCAAUAGUCAAUUAUUAGCCGAAAGAAAGUUUGCAAUUUUUAUUUUGUAUCUAUGUAAUGAUGGUCAAAUAUCAAUUGGAACUUACUACAAUGGUGAUUUUAAUUCCAAUCGAAAGUCCUUGAGUAUGUAAUACAUUUUCUAAAUUAACAUUUGUUUUAUUUAAGAAAUGUUAAUUUAAGAAUUAAGUAUAAUGUGUUUAACUAUUUAAAAAACAUGCGGGUUACGAAAAAGGGUUAGGAUUGGAUUUUGAAAUUUGUUAACAUUGGAUCACGAUUGAUUCGCUCCAAACUCUCCCCAUUGCCAUGUCUACCUAUAUGUGUCAUGUAUUUUACAUUAUAUCUCUUGAAAUUACGACUAAAUCUAGCUCAUACUUUUUCUAUGAAGAACUCCCUCCGUCCCAAAAUUAUUGUCCACCGACAAAAAAACACAAUUAAGAAAACAUUAAUUACCCCUCACUUUAUUAAAUGAAAUGACAAUUAUACUUUUAGUUUCAUUUAAUUCCAGGAUAGAUUAACUAAUAAUGAGGGUAUUUUGGUAAAAGGGAUAUUUAUUUUUAGAAGUAACCUAUUAUUUUAGGCAAACCAAAAUGGAAACAUGAACUAUUGAUAUGAGACGGAAGGAGUAUUUCACAUCAAAAUAGAAGAAUCCUACUUCUUGUAUAAUUAUUCUAGUUAUAACACCCAAGGCUUACAUAAUCCUCGACUUACCAAUAAUCUUAAGUUUAUGAUCCAUUCGUACCCUUCAAAUCCUCAAUCCUUGACUAAUCCUUGACUUCCUGCUAAGAUCACUUUAUGAUUUAUUCAUAGACUUAACAUUCUAAUAUCCUUCUUUUCCUUAAUGUAUAUAUCAUAUGUCUAUAAUUCAUCAUAUUACUAGAUCAUUACGAGAUAAAGUCUAAAAUUAACACCUAUUAUCCAUUUUGCACCUCAUCAUGCUAACCAUGUUGAUUAGGUCCUCAAAGCACAUAUACAUAUAUGAUGCUUGAAUAAUCAAAUGGUACUUAUUAUUACAAAGAUCCAAUAUUGUUAUUUAUCUGUUUGCGAUGUUAUUAACAUGAUAGAACAUAAUCACGGGUUACUUAAAACAUUGGUCAUUUCACUUGUAACACAUAUUUUAUCUUUCUUGUCAAUCAUUCUAAUCCUAUUGUAUUCCUACAAAAAGGCUAUAAUCCAUAUCCUUACACUAAAUAUCCACUAAUAAUAAAAUUUCUAAAUAAACUUUUUGCCGUCCGUUCAUUCUUAGCAUCCUUUACAUUGGUGGUUGUUUAUUUCAAAGUAAAAUGCAUAGACAAGAAAAAAACAAAGUUUGAUGUUUCAAUGUUGUAAGUUGUAACAGAAAGAAAAAUGUAAGUACAACACUAAAAAUUGGACAAUUUUUAAAAAUGCAAUGUACAAUAGAAUGAAUUUUCAAAUUUCGAUGUUAUAAUGUUGUAAAAGAGAAAAAACUGAAAGUACAAAGCUAAUAUAGGAAUGAAUUUUGAAGGAAAAUCUCCGAUAAAGUCCCAAUAUUUGAGUCAGUUUACAAUAUAAUCUUAACAUUUAUUUUUUAAACAGAAAAGUCUUGAUUAUCUAAUUUUAUGCAAUAAUUUGUCAUUUCUCUUCAAAAAACAAUAAGGACUGUUUCAUUAAUUUUGAUAAAAUAUAAAAUAUCCAGAACUUAUCUGUUGAAAAAAUAAAAGUUCAGAUUAAACCGUAAACCGUAAACUCACCCAAAUUAUUGAAACUUUAUCGAAGAUCUCCCAAUUUUGAAAUGUGAAAUUCUCAUAAUAAGAAAGGUGAAAGUAGAAUGCUAUAUGUGGAAGAUUUCUCAAAAUAAAAUGCAUAGAUGAGAAAAAAGAAGUUUGAUGUUUCAACCUUAUAACAGAAAGAAAAGUGAAAGUACAAUUCUAAAAAUGAACAGAUGAGGAAAAAGAAGUUUGCUAUUUCAAUGUCAUAACAAAAAGAAAACUGAAAGUACAAUGUUAAAAAUGGGACAAUUUUUUCAUAUGCAAUGUGUUCAUAAUUUUAAAAAAAAAGUAGAAUUUUAUAAUUGCAAGAUUUUCAUAGUAAACUACAUAGAUGAUUUUUGAAAAUGCAAUGUGCUAAUAAUAAGAAAACUAUAAGUAAAAUGCUAUACUUUAAUGAUUUGUCAAAGUAACCUACAUAGAUUAUAUAUAAAUAAAAAUAAAAAAAAUAAAAACGUGUAAGGUUUCAAUGUUGUAACAAAAAGGAAAGUGAAAGCACAAUGCUAAAAAUAUGAUGAUUUUUAAAAAUGCAAUGUGUUGAUAUAUAAAAUCUAAAAGUGAAAUGCUUUAAGAUAGAUGAUUUUUCAAAGUAUACUGCAUAGAUAAAAAAAUUUAUGAUGUUUCAAUGUUGUAACACAAUGGAAAGUGAAAUCACAAUAAUAAAAAUGGAAUGACCUUUGAAAGUAGAAUGUUGGAUUAUUUUUCAAUGUUAUAGAAGACAAGUGAAAGUAAAAUGCUAAAAAUGGGAGAAGUUCUAAAAAUGCAAUAUGGUAAUAAUAAGAAAACAAAAUAUUAACAGUGUCCAUAUAUGUAUCAUGUAUUAUCAUUCAUACCUUAAAUGAUCUUUAUAUCUCAUGACAUUGUGACUUAAAUCCAGCUCAUACUUUUUCUAUGAAGUAUUUAACAUCAAAGUAGAAGAUUCAUACUUCUCUUGUCUAAUUAUUAUAAUUAUGACACCCAAGUCUCAACACCUUUUAUCCAUACUUAACCUCAUCAUACUAAUUAUAUCCUCUAACAAAAAGACAUGCUUAAAUAUUUAAAUGGUACUUAUUAGUAAGAAUAUCCAAUCUUGUUGUCAUUAAUCUUUUUGCGAUGUUAUUGUUAUGACAGAACAUAAUCAUGGGAUACCUAAUAUAUCGGUCAUUUCACAUGUAAUACAUAUUUCAUCUUUCUUGUCUAAAUAUAUCUUAUUAUCAUCUGUACAUUCUUAGCAUCCCUUGAUUGGUUCAUGUUAAUUAAAAGUAAAAUGCAUAUAAGAAAACUGAAAGUAGAAUGUUACAAAAUUGGAUGAUUUUUAAAAAUUUAAUUUAAAAUGGAUGUUUUCGAAAGUAGAAUGCAUUAAAUAGGACUUUUUUUUAAAGUAAGAUGCAUAGAUGAGAAAAAGAGAAGUUUGAUUUUUCAAUGACGUUAUAGAAAGAAAGGUUAAAGUACAAUGCUAAAAAUGAGAUAUUUUUAAAAAUUCAAGGUAAAAUGAAAGUUUUUGAAAGUAGAAUGGUUAAUAUGGAGGUUUUUCAAAGUAAAAUGCAUAGAUGAGGAAAAAAAAUAUGAUGUUACAGAAAGAAAAGUUAUAGUAUAAUGCAAAAAAAUUGGUUGAUUUUUAAAAAAUCAAUGUAAAUGGAAGUUUUUGAUAGUCCAAUGCUUCAAUGGGAAGUUCUUUUAAAGUAAAAUUCAUAGAUGAGAAAAAGAGAGGUUUGAUGUUUCAAUGACGUUACAGAAAGAAAAGUUAAAGUAAAGUGCAAUAAAUGGGAAGAUUUUUGAAAAUUGAAUGUAAAAUGAAAGUUAUUGAAACUAAAAUGCUUUAUUGGUAGUUUUUUCAUAGUAAAAUGCAUACAUGAGAAAUGAGAAGUUUGAUGUUUCAAUGAUGUUAUAGAAAGAAAAUCGAAAGUAUAAUGUUAAAAAUCAUAUGAUUUUUGAAAAAUCAAAUGUGUAAAAUGGAAGAUAUUCAACGAAAAAGGUUUUAAUUGGAAGUUUUUUUAAAAAUAAAAUGCAAAGAUGAGAAAAAAGAGGUUUCACGUUUCAAUGAUGUUACAGAAAGAAAAUCGAUAGUACAUUGUUAAAAACCAGAUGAUUUUUGAAAAUUCAAUGUAAAAUGAAAGAUUUUGAAAGAAAAAUGUUUUAAUUGCAAGUCUUUUCAAAAUAAAAUGCAUAGAUGAGAAAAAGAGAGGUUUGAUGUUUCAUUGUUUCAGAAAGAAAAGUGAAAGUACAAUGCCAACAAUAUGAUGAUUUUUGAAAAUUUAAUGUAAAAUAAAAUAUUUGAAAGUAGAAUGUUUGAUUUCAAGUUUUUUCAAAGUAAAAUGCAUAUAUAAGAAAAAAAAUAAGUUCGAUAUAUCAAUGAUGUUACAGAAAGAGAAAAGUAAAGGACAUAAGUUUGAACUUAGAAUGCUUUUACGAGAGGUUUUUUCAAAGUAAAAUGCAUAGAUGAGAAAAAGAGGUUUGAUGAUUUAACAAUGCUACAUAAAGAAUAAGUUAAAGUACAAUGCUAGAAAUGUGAUGAUUUUAAAAAAAUUAAUGUAAAGUGGAAAAUUCUUAAAAGUAGAAUGUUUUAAUCGUAAGAUUUUUUAAAGUAAAAUACAUAGAUGAGAAAAAAAACGUUUAAUGUUUCAAUGAUGUUACAGAAAGAAAAGUUCAAGAUAAGUGCUAAAAAGGGAUGUUUUUUGAAAACUAAAUGUAAAAUGGAAGUUUUUGAAAGUAGAAUGCUUUAAUUCUAAGUUUUUUUAAAGUAAAAUAUAGAGAUGAGAAAAAGAAGUUUGAUGUUUCAAUUAUGUUACACAAAGAAGAGUUAAAGUACAAUCCUAAAAAUAUGAUGGUUUUUAAAAAUUGAAUGUAAAAUGGAAGUUUAUCAAAGUAGAAUGCUUAAAAUGCAAGUUUUUUCAAAGCAAAAUGCAUAGAUGAUAAAAAAGGUUUGAUGUUUCAAUUAUGUUAAAGAAAGUACAAUGCUAAAAAUGGGUUGAUUUUUGAAAUAUCAACGUAAAAUGGACGAUUUUGAAAGUAGAAUGCUUCGAUUUGAAAAAAUUUCAAAGUAAAACGCAUAGAUGAGAAAAAAAAAGAUGUUUGAUGUGUCAAUGAUGUUACAGAAAGGAAACUUAAAAUAUAGUCCUAAAAAUGGGAUGAUUUUUGAAAAUUGAAUGUAAAACGGAAGUAUUUGAAUGUAAAAUGCUUUAACUGGAAGUUUUUUCAAUGUUAAAUGCAUAAAUGAGAAAAAGAGAUGUUUGAUGUUUCAAAAAUGUUACAGAAAGAAAAAUGUAAUGAGCAAUUCUAAAAAUGGGAUGAUUUUUGAAAAAUGAAUGUAAAAUGGAAGUUUUUGAAUGUAGAAUGCUUUAAACAGAACUUUUUUCAAUGAGAAAAAGAGAUGUUUGAUGUUUUAAUGAUGUAAUAAAAAUGUGUAGAUUUUUAAAAUUUCAAUUUAAAAUGGAAGUUUUUCAGAGUCGAAUGCUUUAGUUGUAAGUUUUUUCAAAGUAAAAAUAAAUGAGAAAAAAAAGAUGUUUUGAUGUUUCAAAGAUGUUACAAAAAGAAAAAUGUAAUGAACAAUUCUAAAAUGGGAUGAUUUUUGAAAAUUAAAUGUAAAAUGAAAGUUUUUGAAUGUAGAGUGCUUUGAUUGGAACUUUUUUUAGUGAGAAAAAGAGAUGUUUGAUGUUUCAAUGAUGUUAUAGAAAGAAAAAGGUAAAGUAUAAUGCCAAAUUUGUGAUGAUUUUAAGAAAUUUAAUGUAAAUUGCAAGUUUUUAAGAGUAUAAUGCUUUAACUGUAAGUAUUUUAAGAAAUUUAAGAAAAAAAAAAGAAUGAUGUUUCAAAGAUGUUGCAUAAAGAAAAAGUUAAAGUGUAAUGCUAAAAAUGGGAUGGUUUUUGAAGAUUGAAUGUGAAAUUGAAGUUUUUGAAAGUAUAGUUCUUUAAUUGUAAGUAUUUUUCAAAGUAAAAUGCAUACAUGAGAAAAAGUUAACGUACAGUGCUAAAAAAUGAGAGAAAUCUUAAAAUCGAAUCUAAAUGGAAGUUUUUGAAAAUAAAUGCUUUGAUUGAAAGUUUUUCAAAGUAAAAUUCAUAGAUGAGAACAUGAGAAUUUCGAUUUUUGAAAGAUGUUACAUAAAGAAAAGUUUAAAGUGCAAUGAUAAAAAUUGGAUGACUUUUGAAAAUCAAAAGUAAAAUGGAAGUUUUUGAAAAUAAAAUGUUUUAAUUGGAAUUUUUUUCAAAGUAAAAAUGCAUAGAUGAGAAAAAGAAAGUUUGAUGUUUCAAUGAUGUUAUAGAAAGAAAUAAGUUGAAGUGAAAUGCUAAAAAUGGGAUAUUUUUAAAAUCGAAUGUCAAAUGGAAGUUUUUGAAAAUAAAAUGUUUUGAUUGAAAGUUUUUUAAAACUAAAACGCAUACAUGAGAAAUGAGAAGUUUGAUGUUUCAUAGAUGUUACAUAAAGAAAAAGUUAAAGUGCGAUGUUAAAAAUGAAAUGAUUUUUUAAAAUUGAAUGUAAAAUGGAAGUUUUUAUAAAUAAAAUGCUUUAAUUGUAAGCUCUUUUGAAUGUAAAAUGAAUACAAGAGAAAAAGUUAAAGUGCAAUGCUAAAAAUGGAAUGAUUUAGGAAAAUUGAAUGUCACAUGGAAGUUUUUAAAAGUAGAAUGCUUUAAAUGUAAGAUUUUUUCAAAGUAAAAUGCAUAGAUAAGAACAACAAAAGUUUGAUGUUUCAAUGAUGUUACAUAAUGAAAAUUUUAAAGUGCAAUGCUAAAAAAUGGAUGAUUUUUUAAAAUUGAAUGUGAAAUUGAAGGUUCUAACUAUAGAAUGCUUUAGUUGUAGGUUUUUUUCAAAGUAAAAUGCGUAGAUGAGAAAAAAAAGUUUGAUGUUUCAGUGAUGUUACAUAAAAAAAAGUUAAAGCAAGAUACUAAAAACGGAAUGAUUUUUGAAAAUUGAAAAGUUUUUUCAAAGUAAAAUGCAUAGAUGAGAAAUGAGAAGUUUAAUGUUUCAAAGAUGUUACAUAAAUAAAAAGUUAAAGUGCAAUGCUAAAAAUAGGAUUAUUUUUGAAAAUUGAAUGUGAAAUGGAAGUUUUUGAAAGUACAAUGCUUUAAUUGUAAGUUUUUCUGCAAAGUAAAAUGCAUACAUGAGAAAAAGUUAAGGUAUAAUGCUAAAAAUGGGAUGAUCUACGAAAAUUAAAUGUAAAAUGGAAGUUUUUGAAAAUAGAAUGCUUUAAUUGAAAGUUUUUUCAAAGUAAAAUGUAAAGAUGAGAAAAAAAAAAGAAGUUUGAUGUUUCAUUUACAAAAAAGAAAAAGUUAAAAUGCAACGCUAAAAAUGAGAUGAUUUUUAAAAAUUCGAUGUAAAAUGGAAGUUUUUAAAAGUAGGAUGCUUUGAUUGUAAGUUUUUUUUCAAAAUACACUGCAUAGAUGAGAAAUGACAAGUUUGAUGUACCAAAAAUGUUACAUAAAGAAAAAUUUAAAGUGCAAUGUUAAAAAUUGAAUGAUUUUUCAAAAUCAAAUGUAAAAUGGAAGUUUUUGAAAGUAGAAUGCUUUGGUUGUAAGUUUUUUUCAAAGUAAAAUGAGUAGAUGAGAAAAAGAGAAGUUUGAUGUUUCAAUGAUGCAUAGAGAAAAAGUUAAAGUCCGAUGCUAAAAAUGGGAUGUUCUUUGAAAAUUGAAUGUGAAAUCGAUGUUUUUGAAAGUAGAAUGCUUCAAUUGUAAUUUUUCUUCAAAGUAAAUUGCAUAGAUGAGAAAAAAAAAGUUUAAUGUUUCAAUGAUGUUGAAAGAAACAAGUUAGAGCACAAUGCUAAAAAAUGGGAUAAUUUUUUAAAAUUCAGUGUAAAAUCGACAUUUUUGAAAAUAAAAGCUGUUAUUGGAAGUUUUUUCAAAGGAAUAUGCAUAGAUGAGAUGUUUCAAUGAUGUUACAAAAAGAAAAAAAAAGAGGGGGGGGGGAUGAUUUUUUAAAAUACAUCGUAAAAUGAAAGAUUUUGAAAGUAGAAUGCCUGAAUUGGAAGUUUUUUCAUAGUAUAUAUAAUGCAUCAAUGAGAGAAAAAGAAGUUUGAUGUUUUAAUGAUGUUACAUAAAAAAAGAUUAAUUACUAUUCUAAAAAUAGGAUGGUUUUUGAAAAUUCAAUGUAAAUUGCAAGUUUUUGAAAGUAGAACGCUUGAAUUGCAAGUUUUUUCAAUGUAAAUGCAUAGAUGAGAAAAAAAAAUAAGAGUGAUGUUUCAAUGAUGUUACACAUAGAAAAAGGUAAAGUACAAUGUUAAAAAUGUGAUGAUUUUUUAAAAUUCAGUGUAAAUAGAAAAUUCUGAAAAUAAAAUGCUUUAUUUAGAAGUUUUUUCAAAGUAAAAUGCAUAGAUAAGAAAAGAGAAGUUUGAUGUUUUAAUGAUGUCACAAAAAGAAAAAUUAAAGUACAAUUUUUUUUUCAAAAUAAAAUGCAUAGAUGAGAAAAGUAAAGUUUCAAUGAUGUUAUUCAAAGAAAAAGUGAAAAGUGCAAUGCUGAAAAUGGAAUGAUUUUUGAAAAAUCAAUGUAAAAUGGAAGUUUUGGACAAAAAAUGCUUUAAUUGGAAAUUUUUUCAGAAGUAAAAUGCAUAGGAGAGAAAAGUGAAGUUUGAUGUUUCAUUGAUGUUAGAUAAAGAAAUGUUAAAGUAGAAUGCUAAAAAUGGGAUGAUUUAUGAGAAUUUAAUGCAAAACGGAUGUGUUUUUUGAAUGUACAAUGAUUUAAUGGGAAGUUUUUUCAAAAUAAAAUUAAAGCACCAUGCUAAUUGUAAAAGAAUAAGAGCAGCAGGACAUGAACAUGAACAUUGAAUUUAUGACACACAACAAAAUAUAGAGUGGUUUAGUGGUAAAACAUACCUGGAGUAUGAAAUGAAAGCAAUUUGCUAUUUCUGGAUCCCCACUAUGAAAGUGGAAAUAUACACAUUUUUUUUUCAAUGUUAAAUGCAUAAAUGAGAAAAAGAGAUGUUUGAUGUUUCAAUGAAGUUAUAGAAAGAAAAAGGUAAAGUAAAACGCUAAAUUUGUGAUGAUUUUUAAAAAUUUAAUUCAAAAUGGAUGUUUUUGAGAGUCGAAUGUUUUAAUUGUAAGUUUUUUCAAAGUAAAAAUGCGUAGAUGAGAAAAAAAGAUGUUUGAUGUUUCAAAAAUGAUUCCGAAAGAAAAAUGUAAAGUACAAUUCUAAAAAUGGCAUGAUUUUUGAAAAUUGAAUGCAAAAUGUAAGUAUUUUAUUGUAGAAUACUUUAAUUGGAAUGUUCUUCAAUGUAAAAUGCAUAAAUGAGAAAAAGUGAUGUUUGAUCUUUCAAUGAUGUUAUAGAAAGAAAAAGCUAAAGUAUAAUGCAAAAGUUGCCAUGAUUUUUAAAAAAUCAGAUUGAAAUGAAAAUUUUUGAGUAUAAUGCUUUAAUUGUAAGUUUUUUCAAAGUAAAAUGCAUAGAUGAGAAAAAAAGAUGGCUGAUGUUUCAAAGAUGUUACAAAAAGAAAAAUGUAAUGUACAAUUCUAAAAAUGGUAUACUUUUUGAAAAUUGAAUGUAAAAUGAAAGUUUUUGAAUGUAGAAUGCUUUAUUUGAAAGUUUAUUCACUGUAAAAUGCAUGAAUGAGAAAAAAAAAUGUUUGAUGUCACAAUGAUGUUAUAGAAAGAAAAUGUUAAAAGUAUAAAGCUAAAUUUUUGAUGAUUUUUAUAAAUUCAAUGUAAAAUGGAAGUUUUUGAGAGUGCAAUGUUUUAAUUGUAAGUUUUUUCAAUGUAAAAUGCAUAGAUGAGAGAUAAAAGAUAUUAGAUGUUUCAAAAAUGUAACUUACAAUUCUAAAAAUUGGAUGAUUUUUGAAAAUUGAAUGUAAAAUGAAAGUUUUUGAAUGUAGAAUGCUUUAAUUGGAAGUUUUUUUCAAUGUAAAAUGCAUAAAUGAGAAAAAGAGAUGUUUGAUGUUUCAAUGAUGUUAUAGAAAGAAAAAGGUAAACUAUAAUGCUAAAUUUGUGAUGGUUUUAAGAAAUUCAAUAUAAAAUGGAAGUUUUUGAGAGUAUAAUGNNNNN
RNAcentral lists this long non-coding RNA (14644 nucleotides) under Lactuca sativa (garden lettuce). RNAcentral describes it as "long non-coding RNA (LSAT_LNC003436)". The record is from RNAcentral. Lineage: Eukaryota; Viridiplantae; Streptophyta; Magnoliopsida; Asterales; Asteraceae.